UGUGGGGUAGAGCAGUAGGUAGCUCGCCAGGCUCAUAACCUGGAGGUCGUAAUAAACGGUUCAAAUCCUACCCCCGCAA
RNAcentral lists this transfer RNA (79 nucleotides) under Kiritimatiellia bacterium. RNAcentral describes it as "Kiritimatiellae bacterium (gut metagenome) tRNA-Met". It matches the Rfam family "tRNA". From Rfam's summary of the family: Transfer RNA (tRNA) molecules are approximately 80 nucleotides in length. Lineage: Bacteria; Pseudomonadati; Kiritimatiellota; Kiritimatiellia. The record is from RNAcentral.